RNAcentral lists this ribosomal RNA (323 nucleotides) under uncultured bacterium. RNAcentral describes it as "bacterial SSU rRNA". It matches the Rfam family "Bacterial small subunit ribosomal RNA", at positions 28 to 352 of the family's 1533-position model. The record is from RNAcentral.
AUUGAACGCUGGCGGAAUGCUUUACACAUGCAAGUCGAGCGGCAGCGCGGGGGCAACCCUGGCGGCGAGCGGCGAACGGGUGAGUAAUACAUCGGAACAUGUCCAGUUGUGGGGGAUAGCCCGGCGAAAGCCGGAUUAAUACCGCAUGAGCUCUGGCGAGGAAAGCGGGGGACCCGUAAGGGCCUCGCGCGACUGGGUUGGCCGAUGUCCGAUUAGCUAGUUGGGGGGUAAAGGCUCACCAAGGCGAUGAUCGGUAGCUGGUCUGAGAGGAUGAUCAGCCACACUGGGACUGAGACACGGCCCAGACUCCUACGGGAGGCAGC